AUUGAACGCUGGCGGCAGGCCUAACACAUGCAAGUCGAGCGGAUGAAGGGAGCUUGCUCCUGGAUUCAGCGGCGGACGGGUGAGUAAUGCCUAGGAAUCUGCCUGGUAGUGGGGGAUAACGUCCGGAAACGGGCGCUAAUACCGCAUACGUCCUGAGGGAGAAAGUGGGGGAUCUUCGGACCUCACGCUAUCAGAUGAGCCUAGGUCGGAUUAGCUAGUUGGUGGGGUAAAGGCCUACCAAGGCGACGAUCCGUAACUGGUCUGAGAGGAUGAUCAGUCAACCUGGAACUGAGACACGGUCCGGACUCCUACGGGAGGCAGCAGUGGGGAAUAUUGGACAAUGGGCGAAAGCCUGAUCCAGCCAUGCCGCGUGUGUGAAGAAGGUCUUCGGAUUGUAAAGCACUUUAAGUUGGGAGGAAGGGCAGUAAGUUAAUACCUUGCUGUUUUGACGUUACCAACAGAAUAAGCACCGGCUAACUUCGUG
RNAcentral lists this ribosomal RNA (484 nucleotides) under uncultured bacterium. RNAcentral describes it as "partial 16S ribosomal RNA". It matches the Rfam family "Bacterial small subunit ribosomal RNA", at positions 30 to 507 of the family's 1533-position model. The record is from RNAcentral.